UUUUAUGAUGAUUUAACAAAAACAAAGCUGGAAUUACUGGCUGAAAAUAUAGUGUUGAUAAGUUUUUGCAAAACUCUGAUU
Molecule: small nucleolar RNA, 81 nt
Filed under: Eremothecium cymbalariae DBVPG#7215
Lineage: Eukaryota; Fungi; Ascomycota; Saccharomycetes; Saccharomycetales; Saccharomycetaceae
Source: RNAcentral